GAUGAAGAACGUAGUGAAAUGCGAUAAGUAAUGUGAAUUGCAGAGUUCAGUGAAUCAUCGAAUCUUUGAACGCACAUUGCGCCCGCCAGUAUUCUGGCGGGCAUGCCUGUCUGAGCGUCGUUUCGACCCUCGCGCCCGGCUUCUGUCGGGGGCGGUGUUGGGGAUCGGCCACACCCUUCAGUGGGAGGCCGGCCCCUAAAUUCAGUGGCGACCACGCUGUAGCCUCCCCUGCGUAGUACUAAAACCACCUCGCAGGCGGAGAGCGGUGCGGCCCGCCGUAAAACCCCCCAACUUUUACAAGGUCGACCUCAGAUCAGGUAGGAAUACCCGCUGAACUUAAGCAUAUCAAUAAGCGGAGGA
RNAcentral lists this unclassified non-coding RNA (360 nucleotides) under soil metagenome. RNAcentral's name for it is "partial contains 5.8S ribosomal RNA, internal transcribed spacer 2, and large subunit ribosomal RNA". The stretch from base 1 to 120 matches the Rfam family "5.8S ribosomal RNA", at positions 35 to 154 of the family's 154-position model. The record is from RNAcentral.